Molecule: transfer RNA, 71 nt
Filed under: human gut metagenome
Rfam family: tRNA
About the family: Transfer RNA (tRNA) molecules are approximately 80 nucleotides in length. Their secondary structure includes four short double-helical elements and three loops (D, anti-codon, and T loops). Further hydrogen bonds mediate the characteristic L-shaped molecular structure. tRNAs have two regions of fundamental functional importance: the anti-codon, which is responsible for specific mRNA codon recognition, and the 3' end, to which the tRNAs corresponding amino acid is attached (by aminoacyl-tRNA synthetases). tRNAs cope with the degeneracy of the genetic code in two manners: having more than one tRNA (with a specific anti-codon) for a particular amino acid; and 'wobble' base-pairing, i.e. permitting non-standard base-pairing at the 3rd anti-codon position.
Source: RNAcentral
GAAGCAUAGCUCAGUUGGGAGAGCAUCUGCCUUACAAGCAGGGGGUCAUAGGUUCGAGCCCUAUUGUUUCC